Molecule: transfer RNA, 84 nt
Filed under: Candidatus Woesebacteria bacterium
Lineage: Bacteria; Candidatus Woeseibacteriota
Description: tRNA-Leu
Rfam family: tRNA
About the family: Transfer RNA (tRNA) molecules are approximately 80 nucleotides in length. Their secondary structure includes four short double-helical elements and three loops (D, anti-codon, and T loops). Further hydrogen bonds mediate the characteristic L-shaped molecular structure. tRNAs have two regions of fundamental functional importance: the anti-codon, which is responsible for specific mRNA codon recognition, and the 3' end, to which the tRNAs corresponding amino acid is attached (by aminoacyl-tRNA synthetases). tRNAs cope with the degeneracy of the genetic code in two manners: having more than one tRNA (with a specific anti-codon) for a particular amino acid; and 'wobble' base-pairing, i.e. permitting non-standard base-pairing at the 3rd anti-codon position.
Source: RNAcentral
GCCGAGGUGCUGGAAUAGGUAGACAGGUCGGUCUCAAAAACCGAUUCCCGCAAGGGAGUGAGGGUUCGAUUCCCUCUCUCGGCA